Molecule: transfer RNA, 115 nt
Organism: Astyanax mexicanus (Mexican tetra)
Lineage: Eukaryota; Metazoa; Chordata; Actinopteri; Characiformes; Acestrorhamphidae
Rfam family: tRNA
About the family: Transfer RNA (tRNA) molecules are approximately 80 nucleotides in length. Their secondary structure includes four short double-helical elements and three loops (D, anti-codon, and T loops).
Source: Rfam
GUCAGAAUGGCCGAGCGGUCUAAGGCGCCAGACUCAAGGUUGUGCACCUUCUCCAAAAACAGAAGAGAUUUCUGGUCUCCGAAUGGAGGCGUGGGUUCAAAUCCCACUUCUGACA